AUCUCUCUACAAAAGACAACGACGAAAGCAUUUGCGUACAACUCUACAACCCCGGUACCGUUCCUUGGGAAGUUUACGGGGUUGUAGAGUUGUACGCAAAUGCUUUCGUGUUUACAAACGCGCCGG
RNAcentral lists this microRNA precursor (126 nucleotides) under Paramuricea clavata. Lineage: Eukaryota; Metazoa; Cnidaria; Anthozoa; Malacalcyonacea; Plexauridae. The record is from RNAcentral.